CAAGGUUUUCAAUGUUGUCAUUUUUUUCGCGUUCUUCUAUGUGUGUUUUUGCGGUUAAAGAAUAGCAUUUUAAAUUAAAAAAAAACAAUAAUAAUGUUUAAUCAAAGUGCAUUGGGUGGUUUUGGGACCACGGUAACACCAUCAAAUUCUAACCCAAUGAAGGACUACGAGGUGGUACAACCACCCGACGACUCCAUCAGUUCUUUGGCAUUUUCACCGUCGUCGAUGCCCCAAAAUUUCCUCAUUGCCGGGAGCUGGGACAAUAACGUGCGGUGCUGGGAGAUCGAGCAAAACGGAACCAGCAUCCCAAAGUCGAUGCAGUCCUGCGGGGCCCCGGUUUUAGAUGUAGCCUGGCACGAUGAUGGUAGCAAGGUUUUUAUGGCGGGAUGCGACAAGCAAGCCAAAAUGUGGGAUUUAGCCAGUAACCAAGUGGUUCAAGUUGCAGUCCAUGAUGCACCUAUUAAAACCUGUCACUGGAUCAAGGCUCCGAAUUAUUCGUGCCUAAUGACCGGAUCCUGGGAUAAAACUCUCAAGUUUUGGGAUACGCGUAGUGCCACGCCGAUGUUAAGCCUCAAUUUGCCAGAGAGAUGCUAUUGUGCCGAUGUGGAUUUCCCUAUGGCAGUAGUCGGAACGGCUGGAAGACAAAUUAUUGUGUACCAGCUCGAAGGAAAGCCUCAGGAGUUUAAAAAACUGGACAGCCCGCUCAAAUAUCAACAUAGAUGUGUGGCAAUUUUCAAAGACAAGAAAAAAUCUCCUACAGGAUACGCUCUGGGUUCCGUUGAAGGAAGAGUAGCCAUCCAAUACGUAAAUCCGACAAAUCCCAAAGACAACUUCACCUUUAAGUGUCACAGAUCAAACGGUGCCCCCAAUGGUUACCAAGAUAUCUAUGCGGUUAAUGAUAUAGCAUUUCAUCCGGUUCAUGGUACUUUAGCCACAGUGGGAGCGGAUGGUUCCUUCAGUUUUUGGGAUAAGGAUGCCCGCACCAAACUGAAGGCUUCCGAGCUGAUGGAACAGUCUAUAACUAGAUGCGCGUUCAAUCAUAACGGCCAGAUUUUUGCCUACGCUGUUAGUUACGAUUGGAGCAAGGGACAUGAGUUUUAUAAUAGUCAGAAGAAGAACUACAUUUUUCUUAGGUCAUGUUAUGAAGAGUUGAAACCAAGAACGUCUUAGAUGUUCUACAUUUAGUAUUUAAGGUAAAAUUAAGUUUUGGUAAGGUUAUAUAUGUAUAGGCUUGGUGCAUUCUCUGCCAGCAUAAUCGGAGAAUACUCAGCUUAUUAUUAGUAUUUCAGCUAUAACAAAAACUUUCAAAAUUAUGUAACGGGCACUUAGUUUACUCACCUGUUUUGUCGAACUGCUUGGAUCCAUUUUUGCCUUUGAUCAAAUCGAUGUGAGAAGCUGUGAAGCUAUAUAUAUAUUGAAUAUCUGGGAAAAUGGAGUUACUGAAUGUUACUGCACCCAACAACCACGUAAUUACGCCCUAAUUUACGUGUUAAUAUUCCUCACAACACAACGCGACGCCACGCCAAGUUCGUGUUCUUUUUCACUACCUUUUACUACCCGCGGAUCAGCUUUACUUCACACAAACCUACUACCCGAGUGUUUUAUAGUUUCAAUAACAGCACUAGCAAACAUUAAAAUACUUAAAUAUUAUGAGAAAACGACGAUUUUAAUAUUAUUUCAACGCGAUCGGCAUAAACGGUAAAUGCAUAGAAAACAAGUGAACAUCAAGUAAAAUACUUUAGUCGGGCACAGCACCCUAGGACUAGGAAAUACUGCGGUCGGAAUUUUUAAAAUCAACUGAACGCACCAAGUCUAACUUAUUUGUUUUUAAACAAUUUGUUUGCCCAAUAAUAUGCAUUUAAAUUACACAAAUUAUACAGUGUAUUACGUUGUAAAUGUAUUUUUUACUUUAUUCUUAAAUACGUUUAAAAAAAUAAAAUAAACGAAUUUAAAGAAAAA
Molecule: unclassified non-coding RNA, 1959 nt
Filed under: Sitophilus oryzae (rice weevil)
Lineage: Eukaryota; Metazoa; Arthropoda; Insecta; Coleoptera; Curculionidae
Description: mRNA export factor, transcript variant X1
Source: RNAcentral